GCAUUUUAUGGUUCAAAAAGAAGAAAAUAAGAUAAAAUAUCCUAAAAUAUGGUAUCACCAACCAAUAAAAAUUCAUAAUGAAUUAAUAUUACUACCUUGGCUUUAGGAGUCAUUGCAAACCGUUUUGCACUUAGAUGUAAUUAUUUUAUAUGUAAGCUACAUUAUUAAAAAUCACAUUUAUCUCAGUCAUUGCCCUCCUGAAGGCAAGUAGUGGCUUUGUAAUAUGAAAAAGAAUUUUCGCUGUAAUGUGUUGCUGAAAGAUAACCAGAAUACCAAGGAAUUUGUAUAAAAGUAUGCUUCUUCUUCCCUGCUUUCCCUCCAUGGGGCACUAGACCUACAGAAUUAUACUUUCAUACUUAGAAGAUACGUCUUCUUUCUUUCUUAUUUAUUUAUUUAUUUAUUUUAGGUCAUUCUUCUUGUUUGCCAAAUUUUGUUGAGACUGUGAUACAUUCAGUUUCUUAUUUAUGCAUGCUUAGAUCAUGAACUUGGUGCCCUUCAGUAAGUUUUCUCACAUGAGGAUUGAUGCCAUAAAUUUAAAGAAAGAUUGUUUUCAGUUUAAGGGAAAUUGUAAAAAAUACAUUUUGUGGCUGUUCUCUUAAGGAAUUAAUAUUUACUUCUAAAGAACUUGCUUGUAAUAUGUAAUUCCUCCUUUUAGUCAGGAGGGAAAUACAACAUUUUUAAUCCCCCAAAGAAAGUGCUGGAAAUAGCUUCUAUAUAGUCAGUAGUUCAACUGGAGAAAGAUCUUAAUCGUUGUUGUUUUGAGUAGGCAUAUAAGUAUUUGUUAUGAAGUAGCUAGUUUGUUACUUUUUUCCUUCUGAAUUUCAGAUGUAUGCAUAUAUAUGCAUAGUAGAUAUAUAUAUAAUAUAUAUAUAUAUCUCUUUAGAUACCUGUGGUAGAUACUAACUUGUAAAACAGGUAUCUAAUGACUGCUUAAUUGUUACCAGACUGCAUCAAAGGUGAAUUGACAAAAAAUAGAAAUGAGUAGUGAUAUGAAAAUGGUAUUUAACUACAUGUUGUUUCUGGUAAUCAAGUCUUUUUUAAAAAGCUUAUUGUUUUGGAGAAUUGAGAUAUUUAAAACUUGUUAAAACUUCCUAAAAAGAAGAGAAGAGGUACUGUGUGGUCAAAGAAAUUUUUUAAUAAAAAUCUCAGUGUCACUAGUUGUAAGCUUUUAUGGUUACUGCUUAUAUUUCUUGAUCUCAUUUUAUUAAUUUUUUAGUACAUAGCCAGAAGCUUAAAGUUUAUAAUUAUGUAUCAUUGUGUAUGUAUGUAAAUUGGUUUUCAGAAAAUAACCUGACGUUUAACCUGUCUUGCUGAAGAUUGAUUCUGAAAGUCAGCUAUAGUACAUUCUGUGUUGUGCUAAUGCUUCUAAUGCCUUUGCAUGGUUGAUGUCUAUGCAGGGAUCUUCUAGUGUACAUCACUUGGUUGCAGUUUUCUUAGUAGUCCUUUCUCAAAUUUUUCAAUCCCUCUUUUAUUUUUCUUUUUUACUUGCUAUCUCUUCUCAAAGACGUUCAGUGAUUCAGUCUUCAGCAGUUUCCUUUUCUGACUUCUAAGUUAUUUUAAGGUUAGGGAACCUAAAAAAAGGAAGAUUAUUGAAAUUAUAUCAGAAAUUUUUUAAUUAAGAAAUAUUCUUCUCCCUACAAACAAAAUAAAUGGAGAUACUGGUGCCUAAUGUCAUUUCAUCAGUGGAUGACUGAAUUUGUUGAGUAAUUUACUUAAAUGAGCUCAUAGUCGUAAUUGAGUUCUUCAAUACUAAUAUUGAAAUAAUUUUAUUUACUUUUUGGGUAGGGCCUCUCCCAAAGCCUAUGUAUUGUUCAGAUAAAUUAUUUUUCCAUUUAAAUUUUGAAGCCAUUUUGAGAUGCAGUAAUUUGUGGGAGACUUUUACUUUCUCAACAUAAAUUGUGCAUUAAUUUAAAGACAGGAUUAGAUACAUCAUUAUCUAAACACAUACUUCAUAUUUAGCUCUGUGUCCUGAAAGUUGAAGUUACUGCUCUGUGAUCCUGGUAAGUGAGGUAUUAAUUGUAAUUUUAAUUCUCAAAUAUAGUAUUAAACUUUUAUUUGGUGACAGGUCUCCAGAAUGAUUAUAUGAUUUUUUUUAAGAAAAGAGUUCUAUUGAUAAUAUCUGAAACUGUUUUGAAUAUGUAAAAGUAAAGCCUGAAUAGAAACUAGUCUAAAUACAAUACCUCACUAGUUGUGAUUGUACGCACUGAACGAAGAGUUGCCUGGGAAAGUUUUUGCUGUGUUCUUGCUAUGAAAUGCCACAGCCUGCAUUUCAGGAAAGAUUGUUUUCUCAAAGACAAUACAAUCAAAAUUCUUACUAGCCUUUAACUUUUUAUUUUGUAUAACAUGUUUCCUGCUACAUGGAAAGAUUGAAUAAGUUUACCUGUCUCUUAAAGACUGAAAUAGGACUAUUAAGGAACUUUGUAGUUUUUAUGAGAUACCGUGAAAAAUGCAAAUCUCUUCUUAAUUAACCCAGAUUGUGUAUGUAAGUGCAAGUUGAUUGUCAGGUAGAGGUAAAAUAAUUAUUUGGACAGAUUGCUGGGUUAAUUAUAUAGUAGCCAAGAAUUAAGUGCAUGUUCAGGUCAAAAUGAAUUUGUUCAUCUUAGUUGGUACCAUUUUCCUUUUGAUAUUCAGAAAUACAGAAUGUUCAUUUUAUUAGUGGGAAUGGAAGGUCAUGCUUGAGGAUUUGAAUAGGGUGGAUGUAUAUAUUUUAUAAAUUCAAAUUGCAAAAAUAUGUAAAAUAACUACUUUUUAAAUAGUAUAUAAAUGUUAAGACAAAUCUCUGUUAUAUAUUUUUAAAUACAUGUAUCAAAGUUUUGUUAGUUGAAUAUAGGUUACUUUGUGUGCUUUAUGGAAUUCAGUAACUUUUAAUAAUAAAGCAGUUGUCAUUUGAUUUUUUUCCUGUAUACUUGAAUACUAAAUUGGAUAAAUACUAGACUUCCUUGUAUUUUUAUACUAUAAAACUUUGUGUAGUAUUUGUUCCUUAAAGAAGCCUGAUCUCUUUAAAGGAUUACCGAAACAAAUAUGUCCAUUUCCAAAAUGAAUACAAUAGGAUGAAGAUAGUUACUAGAGCUGCUUACUUAUUUAACAGAUCAUCUCUACAUAUUAGUAGAGCUAGUUAAUUUGAGUGCUCUUUGUGCUUUAAUUAAGGUCUAGGUGAGCAUUGUGGUACAUAUCUGUAAUUCCAGCCACUCAGGAGGCUGAGACAGGAGAUGGCCAGUUCCAGGUCAGCCCGGGCAAUUUGCAGAGACUAUAUCUCAAAGUAAGAUUUAGAAAGGAUGAAGGCUAGGCACCAGUGACUGUGAUUCUAGCUACUUGGGAAUUCGAGAUCAGCCUGGGCAAAUAACUUCACAAGACCCUCCCCCAUCUCCAAAGUAACCAGAGCAAAAAUGGACUGGAGGUAUGACUCAAGCAGUAGUAGAAUUCUUUGCAAGCUCGAAGCCCUGAGUUCAAACUCUAGUGCCACCAAGGGGGGAAAAAAAAUGACUAGCAGUGUAGCACAAUGGUAGAGCAGUUGUCUAGCUGUGUGAGACCUUGGGUUCAACUCCCAGUACCACAAUCAAUCCUUUUUAAAGACUUGGAUUUUACAGAAAAUACACAAAUUGAGACCUGGACACACUUAGAGUUACCAUGAAUCUGAUUGUUUCUGAACUUGGAAUUGUACAAUUAAUAAGAACAUACUGUAAAGAACUUCUGGAUGCUUUUCUGAGUAUACAAACAGAUGAACUAAUCUAUUUAAAUGAAUGACUCUUGAAGCUACAAGAAGAGAGAAAGAAAGCAGAAGAAGGAAUAAUUAUUGCAUUUGUUACUCCACACAAGAAGAAAUUAAAUCUGCUCUGCUGAUAGUGUUUCUCAUAUCUUUACCUUAUCUGAGGCAAAUUGCUUGUCUUGAGUAUAUUCAUACAUCAAGAAUAAAAUGUUUUCAACUAAAUACAUCUGAAGAGCAAUGUGAUCAUAAAGGUUUCACGUAUGCAUUAUGGUUUGGUUUUCCCAGUCCAAGUCCUGCUUCACAAACUCACCCUGUUGACUGUUGUUGGCCCUUCUAACUCCAAUGUCUACUUCCUGGAUGGCCCAAAUCAGCACAGUUAGCAGUAAGUGUGGUACAAGAAGGUGGCAGUAAGAGCUUUGAGACUGAUUACUUGUUAUGUCCGUGACAGUGAGGCCUCCAUCCCUGGCUGCAGGUGGGGUUGGCAUAGUUCCUGCCACAGGCAUUAUGUGGCCUAGUUAAAACUUUACUCAGGUGUGGUUGCAUCCGUAAUCCCAACACUUGGAAAGCGAGGGCAGGAGGAUCUCAAGUUGGAGGCCAGCCUACACUACAUAGGGAGGCCCUGUCUCAAAGGAAAAA
Molecule: non-coding RNA, 4342 nt
Organism: Castor canadensis (American beaver)
Lineage: Eukaryota; Metazoa; Chordata; Mammalia; Rodentia; Castoridae
Source: RefSeq, a predicted model, not a curated record